RNAcentral lists this ribosomal RNA (253 nucleotides) under uncultured bacterium. Its description in RNAcentral is "partial 16S ribosomal RNA". It matches the Rfam family "Bacterial small subunit ribosomal RNA", at positions 524 to 776 of the family's 1533-position model. The record is from RNAcentral.
UACAGAGGGUGCAAGCGUUGUUCGGAAUUAUUGGGCGUAAAGCGCGUGUAGGCGGCUUUGCAAGUCGGGUGUGAAAGCCCUCAGCUCAACUGAGGAAGUGCGCCCGAAACUGCAGAGCUUGAGAACCGGAGAGGAUGGCGGAAUUCCCCAAGUAGAGGUGAAAUUCGUAGAUAUGGGGAGGAACACCGGUGGCGAAGGCGGCCAUCUGGACGGAUUCUGACGCUGAGACGCGAAAGCGUGGGUAGCAAACAGG